This 253-nucleotide ribosomal RNA is filed under the name uncultured bacterium. Its description in RNAcentral is "partial 16S ribosomal RNA". It matches the Rfam family "Bacterial small subunit ribosomal RNA", at positions 524 to 776 of the family's 1533-position model. The record is from RNAcentral.
CACGUAGGGCGCAAGCGUUGUCCGGAAUUAUUGGGCGUAAAGAGCUCGUAGGCGGUUUGUCGCGUCGGCCGUGAAAACUUGGGGCUUAACUCCAAGCUUGCGGUCGAUACGGGCAGACUUGAGUUCGGCAGGGGAGACUGGAAUUCCUGGUGUAGCGGUGAAAUGCGCAGAUAUCAGGAGGAACACCGGUGGCGAAGGCGGGUCUCUGGGCCGAUACUGACGCUGAGGAGCGAAAGCGUGGGGAGCGAACAGG